AGGACCCUUCCGGAGGGCCCCCCCCAAUCCUGUUGUGCUGGAUUCAGAGGGUUGGGCGGAGGCUUUCCUGAAGGCUCU
Non-coding RNA from Sus scrofa (pig), 78 nucleotides. The record is from Rfam. Lineage: Eukaryota; Metazoa; Chordata; Mammalia; Artiodactyla; Suidae.